CCUACGGGAGGCAGCAGUGGGGAAUCUUAGACAAUGGGCGCAAGCCUGAUCUAGCCAUGCCGCGUGAGUGAUGAAGGCCUUAGGGCCGUAAAGCUCUUUCGCCUGUGAUGAUAAUGACAGUAGCAGGUAAAGAAACCCCGGCUAACUCCGUGCCAGCAGCCGCGGUAAUACGGAGGGGGUUAGCGUUGUUCGGAAUUACUGGGCGUAAAGCGCACGUAGGCGGAUUGGAAAGUUGGGGGUGAAAUCCCGGGGCUCAACCCCGGAACUGCCUCCAAAACUAUCAGUCUAGAGUUCGAGAGAGGUGAGUGGAAUUCCAAGUGUAGAGGUGAAAUUCGUAGAUAUUUGGAGGAACACCAGUGGCGAAGGCGGCUCACUGGCUCGAUACUGACGCUGAGGUGCGAAAGUGUGGGGAGCAAACAGGAUUAGAUACCCUGGUAGUCCACACCGUAAACGAUGAAUGCCAGUCGUCGGGCAGUAUACUGUUCGGUGACACACCUAACGGAUUAAGCAUUCCGCCUGGGGAGUACGGUCGCAAGAUUAAAACUCAAAGGAAUUGACGG
RNAcentral lists this ribosomal RNA (560 nucleotides) under uncultured Alphaproteobacteria bacterium. RNAcentral describes it as "bacterial SSU rRNA". It matches the Rfam family "Bacterial small subunit ribosomal RNA", at positions 338 to 916 of the family's 1533-position model. The record is from RNAcentral. Lineage: Bacteria; Pseudomonadati; Pseudomonadota; Alphaproteobacteria.